Long non-coding RNA from Zingiber officinale, 633 nucleotides. RefSeq lists it as uncharacterized. NCBI's taxonomy places the organism in Eukaryota, Viridiplantae, Streptophyta, Magnoliopsida, Zingiberales, Zingiberaceae. The transcript has 2 exons. The record is from RefSeq and is a predicted model, not a curated record.
UGAAACUGGAGAGAUAGCGACAGGUGUUUGACCCUUUCUUCUUCACCUUAUUCCUUUGUGUAUAAACAAGGCAGAGCUCUCGCUCGAGUUGGGUGUCCAAUUCUAAGUAACGAGAUAUGGAAGCGUCUGCAGGAGGAGGAGGGCGGGCUGUAGGCCGCCGUGACCUCGAGGCGGAACUCCUGAGGGAAGUAGGGUGGGCCACCAUCCUGCUCUCCGCCUCCACCUUCCUCCUCUCGACCCACGACCCUCCUCUGUUUCGCCUCUUCUUGUUGCUGCUCCUCUUCCAAGGUUGCACCUUGCUGUUUGCGUCCUUCUUCACAUUUCCGCCGGCGAGGAGAGUGGCGGUUCGCCUCGCGCUGCUGCUUCGCAGGAUGCUACCUUGACCGAGAUUAGGCCGUCAGAGGAUCUACGGGGAGGGGGAGCAAAAAAGUAGUAGAGACACGGUGACCCAUGACCCGGCCCAUGAGUUGGCUAAGCUUGAGCCCGGUUUUGCCUUGGCAGGGGCUGGUAAGAUCUAGGAUCGUAUCGUGUCAGGCUAGGUCGACUCAGGUGGAGGCGGUUCAGUUUACUGCAUCCCAUUUCCUUAGGAGCGUGUAGCAUUUCAUCAUAUAAGUAUUGAUUUAAUCGCUCUAA